UACGGAGGGUGCAAGCGUUAUCCGGAUUUACUGGGUUUAAAGGGUGCGCAGGCGGACUGUUAAGUCAGUGGUGAAAUCUCCGGGCUCAACCCGGAAACUGCCGUUGAUACUAUCAGUCUUGAAUACUGUUGAGGUGGGCGGAAUAGGCCAUGUAGCGGUGAAAUGCAUAGAUAUGACCUGGAACCCCAAUUGCGAAGGCAGCUCACUAAGCAGACUAUUGACGCUGAGGCACGAAAGCGUGGGGAUCAAA
RNAcentral lists this ribosomal RNA (250 nucleotides) under uncultured prokaryote. Its description in RNAcentral is "partial 16S ribosomal RNA". It matches the Rfam family "Bacterial small subunit ribosomal RNA", at positions 524 to 772 of the family's 1533-position model. The record is from RNAcentral.